This 720-nucleotide ribosomal RNA is filed under the name Bacillus sp. (in: firmicutes). Its description in RNAcentral is "bacterial SSU rRNA". It matches the Rfam family "Bacterial small subunit ribosomal RNA", at positions 73 to 780 of the family's 1533-position model. The record is from RNAcentral. Lineage: Bacteria; Bacillati; Bacillota; Bacilli; Caryophanales; Bacillaceae.
AGCUUGCUCUCAAGAAGUUAGCGGCGGACGGGUGAGUAACACGUGGGUAACCUGCCCAUAAGACUGGGAUAACUCCGGGAAACCGGGGCUAAUACCGGAUAACAUUUUGAACUGCAUGGUUCGAAAUUGAAAGGCGGCUUCGGCUGUCACUUAUGGAUGGACCCGCGUCGCAUUAGCUAGUUGGUGAGGUAACGGCUCACCAAGGCAACGAUGCGUAGCCGACCUGAGAGGGUGAUCGGCCACACUGGGACUGAGACACGGCCCAGACUCCUACGGGAGGCAGCAGUAGGGAAUCUUCCGCAAUGGACGAAAGUCUGACGGAGCAACGCCGCGUGAGUGAUGAAGGCUUUCGGGUCGUAAAACUCUGUUGUUAGGGAAGAACAAGUGCUAGUUGAAUAAGCUGGCACCUUGACGGUACCUAACCAGAAAGCCACGGCUAACUACGUGCCAGCAGCCGCGGUAAUACGUAGGUGGCAAGCGUUAUCCGGAAUUAUUGGGCGUAAAGCGCGCGCAGGUGGUUUCUUAAGUCUGAUGUGAAAGCCCACGGCUCAACCGUGGAGGGUCAUUGGAAACUGGGAGACUUGAGUGCAGAAGAGGAAAGUGGAAUUCCAUGUGUAGCGGUGAAAUGCGUAGAGAUAUGGAGGAACACCAGUGGCGAAGGCGACUUUCUGGUCUGUAACUGACACUGAGGCGCGAAAGCGUGGGGAGCAAACAGGAUUA